Molecule: ribosomal RNA, 489 nt
Filed under: uncultured bacterium
Lineage: Bacteria
Description: partial 16S ribosomal RNA
Rfam family: Bacterial small subunit ribosomal RNA
Source: RNAcentral
AUUGAACGCUGGCGGCAGGCCUAACACAUGCAAGUCGAACGGUAACAGGAAGAAGCUUGCUUCUUUGCUGACGAGUGGCGGACGGGUGAGUAAUGUCUGGGAAACUGCCUGAUGGAGGGGGAUAACUACUGGAAACGGCAGCUAAUACCGCAUAACGUCGCAAGAUCAAAGAGGGGGACCUUCGGGCCUCUUGCCAUCGGAUGUGCCCAGAUGGGAUUAGCUAGUAGGUGGGGUAACGGCUCACCUAGGCGACGAUCCCUAGCUGGUCUGAGAGGAUGACCAGCCACACUGGAACUGAGACACGGUCCAGACUCCUACGGGAGGCAGCAGUGGGGAAUAUUGCACAAUGGGCGCAAGCCUGAUGCGGCCAUGCCGCGUGUAUGAAGAAGGCCUUCGGGUUGUAAAGUACUUUCAGCGGGGAGGAAGGGAGUAAAGUUAAUACCUUUGCUCAUUGACGUUACCCGCAGAAGAAGCACCGGCUAACUCCGU